RNAcentral lists this transfer RNA (68 nucleotides) under Marmota monax (woodchuck). Its description in RNAcentral is "tRNA.Ala". The record is from RNAcentral. Lineage: Eukaryota; Metazoa; Chordata; Mammalia; Rodentia; Sciuridae.
GGAUUGUGGCUCAGUAGUAGAGCGCUCGUCUAGCACAUGUGAGGCCCUUGGUUCGAUCCUCAGCACCA